GAACCCACAGGCAGGAACCAACUCCGGACACAAUGGGAAGCAAAUCCUAGGAACAAUCACGUGAGCUUGGAAGGAGACCUUUCCCCAGCUGAGCCUCAGCCUGGGCCAUCACCUGCAUCUGGACUGAAGACCCAAAGAAACUACUCCAUCAGGAAUUGUUUGAGACCAUGCAUUAUGUGGACACUCAUAUCGUGGAAUUAUAUUGCCAAUUGGCAUUCCUAAAGCUUCUACGCUAGCAGGUUUGGAGUAAUUCACCAGUGAAGUCUUCUCAACCUGGGCAAUCAUGUGAGCUUGGAAGAUGAUGCAUCCCCAUCUCAUCUUUCAGGUGAAACCUCAGCCUUGGCCAUCACCUACAUCUGGAUUUCUGACCCAGAGAAACUGCUGGAGUACAGUGGCAUGAUUUCAGCUUACCGCAAACUCUGCCUCCUGGAUUCAAACCAUCCUCCGGCCUCAGCCUCCUGAGUAGCUGGGGCAACAGGUGUGAAGGCUGGUCUUAAACUCCUGACCUCAAGUGAUGGACCUGUCUUGGCUUCCAAAAGUGCUGGAAUUACAGGCAUGAGCCACCAUGCCCUGCUAUGAGGUCUUGUUCCUUUGGCCAGGCUGGAGUGCAGUGGCACAGUCAUCACUCACUGUAGCUUCAAACACCUGGGUUCCAGCAUUCAUCCCACUUCAGCCUCCCGUGUAGCCGGGACUACAGGUACAAGCCACCACACCCAGCUAUCCACAGCCAUAAUCUUUA
Molecule: long non-coding RNA, 739 nt
Filed under: Homo sapiens (human)
Lineage: Eukaryota; Metazoa; Chordata; Mammalia; Primates; Hominidae
Description: HSALNT0379903
Source: RNAcentral